GGUCAAGCGGGAAGAGGCACGCGGUGGAUGCCUUGGCAUCAAGGGCCGAUGAAGGGCGUGGCAAGACUGCGAAAAGCCUCGGUGAGCUGUCUAGCAAGCAUAGCCGGGGAUUCCCGAAUGGGGCAACCUGCUCAAGUGAACCUUGAGCACCCCCAGCUGAACACAUAGGCUGGGUGGAGGUAAGCGGGGGAAGUGAAACAUCUCAG
This 206-nucleotide ribosomal RNA is filed under the name Deltaproteobacteria bacterium. RNAcentral's name for it is "partial 23S ribosomal RNA". It matches the Rfam family "Bacterial large subunit ribosomal RNA", at positions 1 to 206 of the family's 2925-position model. Lineage: Bacteria; Pseudomonadati; Myxococcota; Myxococcia. The record is from RNAcentral.